GGGGAUGUUUUUUAUUCGAUGCCGAGCUUAAAUAAUAUACGGCGAGCGGAGUUGGCGGUCUCCUAAAAACCCAAAAAAAUAAGUGCAAAAAACACUUUUGCUAAAGUCAAAGAGCUGUUUACAGUUCCUAGACUAGCACCAGUCUUGGCCUAAAAACGGCCUUGACCGUUUCUGGAUUGUUUUGCCUGAGAACAACCAGAGGCGUCAUUUAUCAGGCUAAAAACAUCUGAUGUUAGUAAGGGUGUUUUGAAAUCCCCAACUAACUGGAUUAUUGGCGUUUUGUUAAUUUUUGAGCCAAUAAUUGAGAAAACAAAAUUAACUACGCUUGUAGAAAUAUAUUAGGAAGUUUGUCAGACAGGGGCGUAAUACCCCUCAUCUCCACCA
RNAcentral lists this transfer-messenger RNA (384 nucleotides) under bacterium. It matches the Rfam family "transfer-messenger RNA". From Rfam's summary of the family: Bacterial tmRNA, also known as 10Sa RNA or SsrA, is named for its dual tRNA and mRNA-like properties. The record is from RNAcentral.